RNAcentral lists this unclassified non-coding RNA (374 nucleotides) under fungal sp. Its description in RNAcentral is "partial internal transcribed spacer region". The stretch from base 1 to 46 matches the Rfam family "Eukaryotic small subunit ribosomal RNA", at positions 1786 to 1831 of the family's 1831-position model. The record is from RNAcentral. Lineage: Eukaryota; Fungi.
AAGUCGUAACAAGGUUUCCGUAGGUGAACCUGCGGAAGGAUCAUUAACACGUAUCCACGUACCAACCAAUCGUGACACAUGUUUUCAACUCUCCCGAACUGUAGAAACUGGAUGGACUUGAGAGGUUGAGUGGGAUUCGAACGAAUCACUCGCAAGCUCCUAUUUGUAUUCUCACGAAUACUUACAAUUUCAACAGAUCGGCUUUUUUCUUUCAAUGGAAGCUCCAUUCAAGCUUCUAUUGUUAGAAUCUACGAACCAUUUUCACCUUAUUUUUGCUAGUUGACUUUUAUCUUGUGUAACUCUUCAUUGAGCUAUACACGUUUAUUAAUUAAACGUUAAAAUUACAACUCUUAGCAAUGGAUAUCUUGGUUCUC